Molecule: ribosomal RNA, 500 nt
Filed under: uncultured bacterium
Lineage: Bacteria
Description: partial 16S ribosomal RNA
Rfam family: Bacterial small subunit ribosomal RNA
Source: RNAcentral
AUUGAACGCUGGCGGCAUGCCUUACACAUGCAAGUCGAACGGCAGCACGGGAGCAAUCCUGGUGGCGAGUGGCGAACGGGUGAGUAAAGUAUCGGAACGUGCCCAGUCGUGGGGGAUAACGUAGCGAAAGUUACGCUAAUACCGCAUACGAUCUAUGGAUGAAAGCGGGGGAUCGCAAGACCUCGCGCGAUUGGAGCGGCCGAUAUCAGAUUAGGUAGUUGGUGGGGUAAAGGCUCACGAAGCCGGCGAUCUGUAGCUGGUCUGAGAGGACGACCAGCCACACUGGGACUGGAGCACGGCCCAGACUCCUACGGGAGGCAGCAGUGGGGAAUUUUGGACAAUGGGCGAAAGCCUGAUCCAGCCAUGCCGCGUGCAGGAUGGAGGCCUUCGGGUUGUAAACUGCUUUUGUACGGUACGAAAAGGUUUGGCCUAAUAAGCUGAGCUCAUGACGGUACCGUAAGAAUAAGCACCGGCUAACUACGUGCCAGCCGCCGCGGUAA